This 411-nucleotide ribosomal RNA is filed under the name bacterium enrichment culture clone ALO1_GLFRUDD03HGB01. RNAcentral describes it as "bacterial SSU rRNA". It matches the Rfam family "Bacterial small subunit ribosomal RNA", at positions 9 to 419 of the family's 1533-position model. The record is from RNAcentral.
GAGUUUGAUCAUGGCUCAGAUUGAACGCUGGCGGCAUGCCUUACACAUGCAAGUCGAACGGCAGCACGGGAGCUUGCUCCUGGUGGCGAGUGGCGAACGGGUGAGUAAUGCAUCGGAACGUAUCCUGGAGUGGGGGAUAACGUAGCGAAAGUUACGCUAAUACCGCAUAUUCUGUGAGCAGGAAAGCGGGGGGACCUUCGGGCCUCGCGCUCUUGGAGCGGCCGAUGUCGGAUUAGCUAGUUGGUGAGGUAAAGGCUCACCAAGGCGACGAUCCGUAGCAGGUCUGAGAGGAUGAUCUGCCACACUGGAACUGAGACACGGUCCAGACUCCUACGGGAGGCAGCAGUGGGGAAUUUUGGACAAUGGGGGCAACCCUGAUCCAGCCAUGCCGCGUGAGUGAAGAAGGCCUGG